GUCAGUGCUAUUUACAGCGAGGGUCCACCCGUUCCCAUCCCGAACACGGAAGUUAAGCUCGUCUGUGCCAACGAUACUUAGUGGGAAGCCGCUUGGGAAAAUAGGUCAGUGCUGACA
RNAcentral lists this ribosomal RNA (117 nucleotides) under Clostridia bacterium. The record is from RNAcentral. Lineage: Bacteria; Bacillati; Bacillota; Clostridia.